Molecule: ribosomal RNA, 119 nt
Organism: Ictalurus punctatus (channel catfish)
Lineage: Eukaryota; Metazoa; Chordata; Actinopteri; Siluriformes; Ictaluridae
Source: Ensembl
GCUUACGGCCAUACCACUCUGACAAAACCUGAUCUCAUCUGACCUCGGAAGCAAAGCAGAGUUGGGCCUGGUUAGUAUUUUGGUUGGGAGACUGAAUGGAAUACUAGGUGCUGUAAGCU